GGUUGACCCUGCCAGUAGCAUAUGCUUGUCUCUGAGACUAAGCCAUGCAUGUCUAAGUAUAAAUUAAUUUUUACGGUGAAACUGCGGACGGCUCAUUAAAUCAGUUAUAACCUACUUGAUCGUGUGACUUUAUUCGGAUAACCCUAGUAAUUCUAGAGCUAAUACGUGCUAAAAGCCUUAACUUCCAGCAAUGGGGGAAGAAGUGUAUUUAUUAGAAACUAAAACCAAUCAGCUUCGGCUGUUUGAGAUGAUUCAUAAUAACUCGGCAAAUUACGGGAAAAUUCCUGUGAUGAUUCAAACGGAUUUCUGACCUAUCAACUUUAGAUGGCAAAGUAGGGGUUUGCCAUGGUGACAACGGGUGACGGGGAAUUAGGGUUCGAUUCCGGAGAGGGAGCCUGAGAAACGGCUACCACUUCCGAGGAAGGCAGCAGGCGCGCAAAUUACCCAAUGCUAAUUCGGCGAGGUAGUGACAAGAAAUACCAAUGUAGGACCCAACGGGUACUACGUUUGGAAUGAGAACAAUUUAAAAACCUUAACGAGGAACAAUUGGAGGGCAAGUCUGGUGCCAGCAGCCGCGGUAAUUCCAGCUCCAAUAGUGUAUAUUAAAGUUGCUGCGGUUAAAAAGCUCGUAGUUGGAUUACGAAGUGGUGUUUAAAUGUCAUUUUGGUUUGUUUGUCUUUCGGGGCAUUCAGGUCAACUUGGCUUUUACUCACUGUUGUCAUUGUCUUUGCCCAAGGUAUAUGCCUUGUGUGCAUGGCAUUGACCUUCUAUUUUAUGGUAAUGUUGUAUCUUUCGGGGUACAUUCAUUCCAUAUAGUUUACUUUGAAAAAAUUAGGGUGUUUAAAGCAGGCGAAAAGGCUUCGGAAUAUAUUAGCAUGGGAUAAUAGAAUACGAUCUAGGUCGUAAUUUGUUGGUUUCUACGGCUUAGGUAAUGAUUGACAGGGAUAGUUGGGGUCGCUCGUAUUGAGUUGUCAGAGGUGAAAUUCUAGGAUUAACUCAAGACGAACUAAUGCGAAAGCAUUCGGCAAGGAUGUUUUCAUUAAUCAAGAACGAAAGUUGGGGGAUCGAAGAUGAUCAGAUACCGUCGUAGUCUCAACUGUAAACUAUGUCGACCGAGGAUCCGGUAGCGUUACAUGGAUGACCUUCCGGGCACUCUGUGAGAAAUCAUAAGUAUUUGGAUUUCGGGGGGAGUAUGGUCGCAAGGCUGAAACUUAAAGGGAUUGACGGAAGGGCACCACCAGGAGUGGAAUCUGCGGCUUAAUUUGACCCAACACGGGAAAACUUACCAGGUCCGGACACAGUGAGGAUUGACAGAUUGAGAGCUCUUUCUUGAUUUUGUGGGUGGUGGUGCAUGGCCGUUUUUAGUUGGUGGAGUGAUUUGUCUGGUUAAUUCCGUUAACGAACGAGACCUUAACCUAUUAAAUAGCUGCGCGAACCCAGGUUCUUUAACCAUUCUCUCCUUCGGGGGGGCGUGGUAUCAUUAUUUUGCUG
Molecule: ribosomal RNA, 1491 nt
Filed under: metagenome
Description: SSU rRNA
Rfam family: Eukaryotic small subunit ribosomal RNA
Source: RNAcentral